This 1014-nucleotide long non-coding RNA is filed under the name Marmota monax (woodchuck). The record is from RNAcentral. Lineage: Eukaryota; Metazoa; Chordata; Mammalia; Rodentia; Sciuridae.
AGAAUUGACAUUGGAACUAGAGGCCAGUAGGAGGUGUCUCCCUGGUCAGGUCAUCAGUGAGAGCUUGGUUAUUCUCCAUACCAGGGCAUCAGAUCAAAAGGGUUGCAUUUCUCAGUACACCCCUAGAGUGACGAGGCUUAAGAAAUAGUGACUAUGAAAGUAUUCAGAAGUAUGGUAGAAUGAUUGGAAUUGUGGACUAGCAAAAAACAGAACCUAGAAAAAUAAAGGCAGUUCAAAAAAUAAAUAUGAUUAGAAACCAUGAACUAACAAAUGUCAGAAGGACUGAGGCAGGAACCAAAAAAUAGUGCUAGCAUUCCAGGAGAAUUUUGAUCCAUUUCUGUGGGUUUAUUCACCAAGGGCUCUGUAAGUUCAACAUUUGGCUAAAGCUCUUGACACCCAUACAAUCAUUGAUAGGGUCAGGAGCAGAAAUGGAGCCGAUUUAAAACACUGUGACUCACCCCUCAUUUUGCUUUGUUUAUCACAGUUCUCCUGUACUUGUAUUUUUGGUUUCAAUACCCUUUCUCAUGUACCACAAAAGAGGCUAACAAGAAGCCGGGCAUGAUGACACAUACCUGUAAUCCCAGCAACUGAAGCAGGAGGAUCACAAGUUCAAGGCCAGCCUCAGCAAUUUAAUGAGACUCUCAAAAUAAAAUAUAAGGACUUGGGUGGAGUAUGGCUCAGUGGUUAAGCACCUCUGGGUUCAAUCCCUGGUUUAAAAAAAAAAAAAGCGAAUGAUGGAGUUAUUUCUCUUUGAGAUUAAACCAAGAUCUUGGGUUGAAAGGGAUUAAAUUUCUUAAACAUGUAGGACAUCAGGACAGUUAAAGAAUCCUGAGUCUUCAGCUGUCAGGGUUUCUUAUUGCCUUAGCCCUCGUCAUAGCACAUCACACAGCAGCCUCACUUGGGUCUUCCUCUCUCCUGACAUUGGGAGCAUGAAUGACAUAGACUGGGAAGUACAAUGUUUUUAUUGAACUUUAUUAAACCCACAAAAAGGAAGUGGCAGAUUGCCAAUAAAAC